RNAcentral lists this ribosomal RNA (428 nucleotides) under uncultured bacterium. RNAcentral describes it as "bacterial SSU rRNA". It matches the Rfam family "Bacterial small subunit ribosomal RNA", at positions 354 to 796 of the family's 1533-position model. The record is from RNAcentral.
GUCGAGAAUCUUCCUCAAUGGCCGAAAGGCUGAAGGAGCAAUGCCGCGUGCAGGAAGACGCCCUUCGGGGUGUAAACUGCUUUUCUCAGGGAUGAAUAAUUGACAGUACCUGAGGAAUAAGCCACUGCUAACCUCGUGCCAGCAGCAGCGGUAAUACGAGGGUGGCAAGCGUUAUCCGGAAUUAUUGGGCGUAAAGCGUCCACAGGUGGCUAGAAAAGUUUUCAGUAAAACCAUCAAGCUUAACUUGAUGUUUGCUGGAAAAACUCUCUGGCUUGAGACUGGAAGAGGCAAGUGGAAUAGCCGGUGUAGUAGUAAAAUGCAUUAAUAUCGGCUAGAACACCAAUAGCGAAGGCAACUUGCUGGUACAGUUCUGACACUCAUUGGACGAAAGCGUGGGGAGCGAAUGGGAUUAGAAACCCCGGUAGUCC